RNAcentral lists this ribosomal RNA (253 nucleotides) under uncultured bacterium. RNAcentral describes it as "partial 16S ribosomal RNA". It matches the Rfam family "Bacterial small subunit ribosomal RNA", at positions 524 to 776 of the family's 1533-position model. The record is from RNAcentral.
UACGUAGGGUGCGAGCGUUAAUCGGAAUUACUGGGCGUAAAGCGUGCGCAGGCGGUUCGCCAAGUCAGGUGUGAAAUCCCCGGGCUCAACCUGGGAAUUGCGCUUGAAACUAGCGAGCUUGAGUGUGGCAGAGGGGGGUGGAAUUCCUGGUGUAGCGGUGAAAUGCGUAGAUAUCGGGAGGAACACCGAUGGCGAAGGCAGCCGCCUGGCCUGACACUGACGCUGAGGCGCGAAAGCCAGGGGAGCAAACGGG